Molecule: ribosomal RNA, 327 nt
Filed under: uncultured eukaryote
Lineage: Eukaryota
Description: partial 18S ribosomal RNA
Rfam family: Eukaryotic small subunit ribosomal RNA
Source: RNAcentral
CCCUUAGACGUUCUGGGCCGCACGCGCGCUACACUGACGGAGCCAGCGAGCUUUUCCUUAACCGAGAGGUUUGGGUAAUCUUGUGAAACUCCGUCGUGCUGGGGAUAGAGCAUUGUAAUUAUUGCCCUUCAACGAGGAAUUCCUAGUAAGCGCAAGUCAUCAGCUUGCGUUGAUUACGUCCCUGCCCUUUGUACACACCGCCCGUCGCUAGUACCGAUUGAAUGGCUUAGUGAGGCUUCAGGAUUUGCUUAGAUCGAGGGGCAACUCUCUUUCAGAGCGGAGAAUCUAGUCAAACUUGGUCAUUUAGAGGAACUAAAAGUCGUAACA